CAGUAGCCGCGGUAAUACAGAGGGUGCGAGCGUUAAUCGGAUUUACUGGGCGUAAAGCGUGUGUAGGUUGUUGUUCAAGUCAGUUGUGAAAUCCCUGGGCUCAACCUGGGAACUGCUUCUGAGACUGAACGACUAGAGUACGGUAGAGGGUGGUGGAAUUUCCGGUGUAGCGGUGAAAUGCGUAGAUAUCGGAAGGAACAUCAAUGGCGAAGGCAGCCACCUGGGCCUGUACUGACACUGAGACACGAAAGCGUGGGGAUCAAACAGGAUUAGAUACCCCGGUAGUCCCUGUCUCUUAUAC
RNAcentral lists this ribosomal RNA (301 nucleotides) under uncultured bacterium. RNAcentral describes it as "partial 16S ribosomal RNA". It matches the Rfam family "Bacterial small subunit ribosomal RNA", at positions 509 to 807 of the family's 1533-position model. The record is from RNAcentral.